Molecule: ribosomal RNA, 613 nt
Filed under: Grigorovia yakushimaensis
Lineage: Eukaryota; Fungi; Ascomycota; Saccharomycetes; Saccharomycetales; Saccharomycetaceae
Description: LSU rRNA
Rfam family: Eukaryotic large subunit ribosomal RNA
Source: RNAcentral
UUGGCUUCCAUAGCGGAGGAAAAGAAACCAACCCGGGAUUGCCUUAGUAACGGCGAGUGAAGCGGCAAAAGCUCAAAUUUGAAAUCUAGUACCUUCGGUGCUCGAGUUGUAAUUUGUAGAAGGUAUCUUGGAAUGGUGGCUGGCCUAUGUUCCUUGGAAAAGGACGUCAUAGAGGGUGAGAACCCCGUAUGGCUGGGCGUGCUGUUCCUUGUAAGAUUCCUUCGACGAGUCGAGUUGUUUGGGAAUGCAGCUCUAAGUGGGUGGUAAAUUCCAUCUAAAGCUAAAUAUUGGCGAGAGACCGAUAGCGAACAAGUACAGUGAUGGAAAGAUGAAAAGAACUUUGAAAAGAGAGUGAAAAAGUACGUGAAAUUGUUGAAAGGGAAGGGCAUUUGAUCAGACAUGGUGUUUUGCGCCCUCUGUUCCUUGUGGAUAGGGGAAUCUCGCAGCUCACUGGGCCAACAUCAGUUUUGGCGGCCGGAUAAAACCAUAGGAACGUAGCUUACUUCGGUAAGUGUUAUAGCCUGUGGGCCUACGGCCAGCUGGGACUGAGGACUGCGACUUUGUCAAGGAUGUUGGCAUAAUGGUUAAAUGCCGCCCGUCUUGAACCGGACAA